UACGGGGGGGGUAAGCGUUGUUCGGAAUUACUGGGCGUAAAGGGCUCGUAGGCGGCCAACUAAGUCAGACGUGAAAUCCCUGGGCUCAACCCAGGAACUGCGUCCGAUACUGGUUGGCUUGAAUCCGGGAGAGGGAUGCAGAAUUCCAGGUGUAGCGGUGAAAUGCGUAGAUAUCUGGAGGAAUACCGGUGGCGAAGGCAAUCCCCUGGACCUGUACUGACGCUCAUGCACGAAAGCGUGGGGAGCAAACAGG
This 253-nucleotide ribosomal RNA is filed under the name uncultured bacterium. RNAcentral's name for it is "partial 16S ribosomal RNA". It matches the Rfam family "Bacterial small subunit ribosomal RNA", at positions 524 to 776 of the family's 1533-position model. The record is from RNAcentral.